AUGAAUCUUUUUUGUAGUUCAUCCCAAUUCCAAGUUGCUGGUUUUGGUUUGUUGGGUUGCUUCUCCGCCGGCAAAUGUUGCGCUGCAGACUCGCUCAGCCCGUUUUUUGUUUUUUUCCCGCUCUUUCACACCUACAUGCGCGCGCGCGCCCCCGCGCACAUCCACCCAAGCACACGGGCACCUCUCCACGAACACGGCAUCGUGCGUUAUCCUGGGAUCCGGGCAGCAGCAAAGCGGAGGAUGAUUAACAGCGCGUGCUCUGGAAUAAAGCUUGCCAGGUCUUCCCGCGUAAUUGAAGAGGAGAGACUCAAGAAGCAAAGGUCUGACAAGUUGACAUUACAUCCAAGGCUACUGAUCAAGUAACAAAGCUCCUGAGAUACAGUCCAAGAAGUGACCUCUCUGUCUGGAUUAGAGAACAUACAUGAACAUGAUGUGAUUUAUUUGAGGCUGGAGGAUGAAAUGCCAUGCGGUCUCUUGCUUACUUUUAAUGGCAAGUGUAGCCUCUUGGAAAGAUUAGAAGUAGGGGGGCAGGGGGAGGACAUCAAGAGGAGUGAUUGCAACAACUUCCAGAAUCCCUCAGCUACCAUGGCUAUGGAUGUUUGUUGGAGAAUUUUGGGACUUGUAGUUUAAAAAAACCAAAUCCAAAUGUUCCCCAUCUCUGCCCAUUUUGUUAAAAUGGGGGGGGGGGUAGGGAGAGCUAGCUAAGCCUUAUUAUGUUAGUACAGCACCGGGAUUACAUAGCUCUCCUAAGAACCAGUGCCACAGAAUAAGCCUGCCAGAGCCAAGCCUCAACACCUGUUUUCCGUGUCAGGAACCAGUCUAAAUUACUUUUUUUUUUCCUUUUGCAUUACAACUCCACUGUAACUUGUUACCGCAGUGAUGAACCGCAAUAGGGCUCACAGGUUUUCCCCCUUCCGCUUCUAGAAUAGUAGUGAGGAGCUUUUACUUUUCAUUAAUUAAUGCUAUGGGAAAAAGUUAAUUUUGGACUACAGCUUCAAGUGUCUACCUACUAGCAUGGCCACUUUUCCAAGCUGUGAUCUUGACUAAGGUCUGCUUGAAACAAGCCAACUGGAAACCAUAGAUUAUUAAGAUGGCUUGUUUAAACAAACUAUAGCUAUUCUUUGAGGUUCAAACAACAAGCUAUCCUAUGGGUUAACUGAAACUAGGAAUGAAAACUGCUGAAUUCCUCUGCCAAGCUAGGGCAUCUGCAAGCUAUGGCAAGGAAAGAGAGAAGAGAGUAUGCAGACAUAAAGUCAAUAAGCUUUGUUCUUGUCAUGAUAAACUAUGGUUUACGCUGCCUAGAUGCGGACAGAUUGUUCACAUGUUCUCUUGACAAAAGUGAAAGGCAUAAACAAAGCCUGAUCUUGCUAGAAUUUUCUUUCUUUCAACCAAAGAUGGCUUGUCACUUUGAUAGGGGAUGCCACUGUCCAGUCCAUGAGCUAUCCCUUUCAGCAUAUGAGCUGGAAAAGUUACUGUAUGUGCAUUUAGCUGAGAGCAGUCUCCAUUCUACCCAGUGAGACUGAAUUCAUGCAAAGGUUUUGGCUAUGACAGAUUCAUAUUCUGAAUGUAUCAAUAAAUCACAACUUGCAGUUAUUUCA
Molecule: long non-coding RNA, 1598 nt
Organism: Pogona vitticeps (central bearded dragon)
Lineage: Eukaryota; Metazoa; Chordata; Lepidosauria; Squamata; Agamidae
Source: Ensembl